Molecule: ribosomal RNA, 497 nt
Filed under: uncultured bacterium
Lineage: Bacteria
Description: partial 16S ribosomal RNA
Rfam family: Bacterial small subunit ribosomal RNA
Source: RNAcentral
GAUGAACGCUGGCGGCGUGCCUAAUACAUGCAAGUCGAGCGAACAGACGAGGAGCUUGCUCCUCUGACGUUAGCGGCGGACGGGUGAGUAACACGUGGAUAACCUACCUAUAAGACUGGGAUAACUUCGGGAAACCGGAGCUAAUACCGGAUAAUAUAUUGAACCGCAUGGUUCAAUAGUGAAAGACGGUUUUGCUGUCACUUAUAGAUGGAUCCGCGCCGCAUUAGCUAGUUGGUAAGGUAACGGCUUACCAAGGCAACGAUGCGUAACCGACCUGAGAGGGUGAUCGGCCACACUGGAACUGAGACACGGUCCAGACUCCUACGGGAGGCAGCAGUAGGGAAUCUUCCGCAAUGGGCGAAAGCCUGACGGAGCAACGCCGCGUGAGUGAUGAAGGUCUUCGGAUCGUAAAACUCUGUUAUUAGGGAAGAACAAAUGUGUAAGUAACUAUGCACGUCUUGACGGUACCUAAUCAGAAAGCCGCGGCUAACUACGUG